AUAUCCUUUAGGGGAUGUCACGGCUUUGGUUAAGUUUUCCUUUUUACUCCUUAGCUGCUAGCGCAGUUUUAAUGAUAGCUGUUUCACAUGUGCAUGCGGCACUCAUGUGGGCAGAGCUGUCAGAAGACUGUAAAGUCUCAACCAUCCUGCGAUUGCUUGCACCUGAGGAAGACGGAAUGACGAUGUUCUGCGCCAUGAAUAACAGAGUACACCAGUCAUCAUAAGAAGAAAAAUUCACAUUUAAAGUUUGGAAAGCAACAGGACAAAGGUCUGUCUUCAGUGGUGCGUAGACAUGCUCGUGAUUGAAUUGGAAAUAGUUCUCUUUCCUUCUCUCUGACUUCCUAACUGAAAAGCUGCAGCGUGGGGAGAAAGGCUGCUCAGAAGCCUGGAGCCAGAACACGCACCCCGGCUUUUGCAGGGCCGGCUCACUUGGUUAGAAUCAAAGGAAAAGCCUUGUUAUUUGGGAAGCUGGGCGUCCUCACCAAAUUAGGGGAUUUAAUUUGCAGAUAUCUAAGGAGUGCUUUGAAAUGAAAGAUGAACUAAAAUCUGCUCUGAGGCCCGUGAUUUUUCACCAGUGAAGGACUCUCUUGCUGCUGGACAUACAUGAAAAGCAUCAUCUGAUCUGAAACGCAAGUCCCUGCAAGACAGAGGAGAGACUUUAUAAACAUUUUAUACCAUUCUAUGAAAUCAAUUCGAUUCAGGGCUAGAAUUCAAGAAGUAAUCCAUGGGCAAGUAUAUCUGAUGGUAAACCCAAACGAUUAUAUUGUUAACCUCUUGUACUUUUUUUAAUUUUUUAUUAUUUGAUAUUAUUAUCACAAAAGUCGCUGGAACAGGAUCCAUGAGCUGCUUCUUCACUGCUUAGUGUUUUCA
RNAcentral lists this long non-coding RNA (870 nucleotides) under Homo sapiens (human). Its description in RNAcentral is "HSALNT0395273". The record is from RNAcentral. Lineage: Eukaryota; Metazoa; Chordata; Mammalia; Primates; Hominidae.